AUGUAUACAUCCACGGGCCGACGGGUCGAGAUGACUCGCUCCCUCCGAAUGGUUCCGAUCUCGGCCGAUCUCCUGCACCCGCGGUAGAGCUGCGUUGUAGCUGCGUGUCCUUCUCCAGUCCGUCUCUGACACUAUUUCAAUCAUGGUGGACAUUUUGAUGUUGAUGUUUUUCGCCAUCAUUGGCCUCGUUUUCCUCUCCUACGUCAUCUACUUGCUGUGAUGAAGAUGAUGAUGAAGCGUCCUGCUCCGCCACAUAAACGGCUGCAGCACAGUCAUUCGGGGGAUGUGUCUUUCCUGUCCUGCAUCCCUGGUUUCCAUCAUGGACAAAUGGGAUCUGGGUCCAGCCACCGAGGUUUCCCCGGUGGCGCUCUCCUGGAGGAGGGGGGGCACGAGAUAAACAAAUGGACAAGUGGAAGCCCCCGUUUCUCCUCCUUUUAGUAGGUCAGGAUCCUCCUACAAAACGUCACUACUCCCACGUAUUUGCAAUCAGUCUGACCAAUGCAUUAUCUAUGCUACCCAAGGUUGUGCAUGUCUCUUUAAGAGGAGACUGUUACCUCUGCACAAGUCCUCUAUCCAUGGAUGCAGGACGGUUUUGUAGUGUUGAGCGUGAUGCAGGUGUCGAGUUUGCCUUUCUACAACACUGUGAGCUCAUUGUAAUGUGUUGUGUUCCGUUGGACCGUGUCAUCCUGUGACUUCGUGGCCAACCCUUGUGUGCUCAUGUUCUGCCUUGGUUGAGUCAGCCUUCACAUCAGUGUUAUUAUAUGACUUUAUUCACGUGUUUCCAAUAUGUUCCUCUCCUCACUACUAUCAAGAUUAUCUGUCAGAUUAAAGCCAAGGGGAACAUUUCAGUUAUAUGACUCAGCUAUGUGUUUGUCUGUUUUUUGGCUGUAAAUGACAUCCACGGGGAGCAAUGAUGUCAUUUCAGAAAUUAAUCAACCAUUUAUGCUCUUCUCAUUUUUAGCACCAUACCUCAUAUAUGAUGUGUUAUCACUGAUGUUAUGUUUACUGAUGCACUGAUGCUUUACUUAAUGACGGUAUUUCACAUGACAUGUCUAAUAAAGAUGAUUUCAGUAAACCCA
This is a long non-coding RNA of Pseudoliparis swirei, 1079 nucleotides long. RefSeq lists it as uncharacterized. Lineage: Eukaryota; Metazoa; Chordata; Actinopteri; Perciformes; Liparidae. The transcript is spliced from 2 exons. The record is from RefSeq and is a predicted model, not a curated record.